GACGAACGCUGGCGGCGUGCUUAACACAUGCAAGUCGAACGGAAAGGCCUGCUUUCCCUUGUGGAUUGCGGGUACUCGAGUGGCGAACGGGUGAGUAACACGUGAGUGAUCUGCCCCCAACUUGGGUAUAGGCCUGGGAAACUGGGUCUAAUUCCCGAUAGGACUGCAGGGUGGUGCCUGUGGUGGAAAACGAUUUUCUAGUGGUUGGGGAUGAGCUCGCGGCCUAUCAGCUUGUUGGUGGGGUAAUGGCCUACCAAGGCGGCGACGGGUAGCCGGCCUGGGAGGGUGGACGGCCACAUUGGGACUGAGAUACGGCCCAGACGCCUACGGGAGGCAGCAGUGGGGAAUAUUGCACAAUGGGCGGAAGCCUGAUGCAGCGACGCCGCGUGGGGGAUGACGGCCUUCGGGUUGUAAACUCCUUUCGACCGCGAGGAAGCCACCUGGUUGGAAGGGUGGUGACGGUAGUGGUAGAAGAAGCACCGGCUAACUACGUG
This 494-nucleotide ribosomal RNA is filed under the name uncultured bacterium. Its description in RNAcentral is "partial 16S ribosomal RNA". It matches the Rfam family "Bacterial small subunit ribosomal RNA", at positions 28 to 507 of the family's 1533-position model. The record is from RNAcentral.